ACGCCGAGUCGGUACNAGAUCUCCGGGAUUCUAGCGGACGCGGCGUACGGGUUGCGGAACACGUGUGCAACCUUGCCUUAUCUGGGGGAUAGCCUUUUCGAAAGGAAGAUUANAAUACCCCAUAAAUCAUGUCUGCAAUGGCAUCAUUACCGAGGAUUCGAAAACUUCCCGGUGGGCUACGAGAUGGGCACCGCGGCCAAGGAAUUCACGAUACAGUCUCGGUCGAGGGUCAACGGGUCACCAAGUCCUAACNGAUCUAACAGGGGGACCUCGAAGACAAGGGGGGUUGGGGUAACCCCACAGCAANAAACUUGGGUUAAACCUUCGAGGCAACCCACUAGGGACACCAGUGGGUUACCCCUUAACAGGGGAAACGNGGCCACNCAAGUGGACCGGGGACAAUAAAUAUUGGGACAACCCACAUUAGGGCGCUUCGGAAGCAGCCCCUUCGGANUGACAACCAAAGGACACUGAANUUGACCACCACCGGCCACUGGUUCUCGGGCAAAACACUGGGGAAACACAGAACCAUUUCGGGGCCAGCCCACCCGUUAAAAAUUUCGGGGGGGAUUACGAGGGUCACAAAACACGACACUUACC
RNAcentral lists this ribosomal RNA (600 nucleotides) under uncultured bacterium. Its description in RNAcentral is "partial 16S ribosomal RNA". The record is from RNAcentral.